RNAcentral lists this ribosomal RNA (428 nucleotides) under uncultured marine bacterium. RNAcentral's name for it is "bacterial SSU rRNA". It matches the Rfam family "Bacterial small subunit ribosomal RNA", at positions 360 to 804 of the family's 1533-position model. The record is from RNAcentral.
AAUCUUCCGCAAUGGACGAAAGCCUGACGGAGCAAUGCCGCGUGGUGGAUGAAGGCCCUCGGGUUGUAAACACCUGUCAGUAGGGAGGAAAUUUUGACCGAUCUACAGAGGAAGUCCGGGCUAAGUACGUGCCAGCAGCCGCGGUAAUACGUACCGGACAAACGUUAUUCGGAAUCACUGGGCUUAAAGAGUACGUAGGCUGCCUUGAAGGUGAGAUGUGAAAUCCCACGGCCCAACCGUGGAACUGCAUUUCAAACCACAAGGCUUGAGGGAGACAGGGGUGAGCGGAACUGAUGGUGGAGCGGUGAAAUGCGUUGAUAUCAUCAGGAACACCGGUGGCGAAGGCGGCUCACUGGGUCUUUUCUGACGCUGAGGUACGAAAGCUAGGGUAGCGAACGGGAUUAGAUACCCCGGUAGUCUUAGCCGUA